Molecule: long non-coding RNA, 713 nt
Filed under: Panax ginseng (ginseng)
Lineage: Eukaryota; Viridiplantae; Streptophyta; Magnoliopsida; Apiales; Araliaceae
Description: long non-coding RNA (PGIN_LNC013723)
Source: RNAcentral
CUAUUUCUAAUAAAACUUUAACAGUAAAAAAAAAAUUCUGGUAUCAUUUACCAUCUACAAACCAAAGGAGAGAGUAAAAUUCACCAACCUACCUGCACCUGCACCUGCACCUGCACAUGGGUUUUGCAGUGUGCUGUUGGAGUUUUUCUUACUAUAAUACUAUUAGAACGAGACAUGGCAGUAGAGACAGACAGCUGCAGCCUACAGCCUACAGCAUAGUAGUAAUAAGAGUAGUAUUAGUUAAUACAUAGAAAUUCUAAGCAGGAGGAGUAUUUUCUCAAAGAAUACCGUUAGUUAUGAAAUGACAGAACAACAAAACCCUCACCUUUAUGAAUUAGUAGUAGCAUUUAUGGGUAAUAUUUAAUUAAUUAAUUAAUUAAUACAAUACUGAAAAAAAUAUAUAUAUAUAUAUAAAUAUAUAUAAUACGAAUUUAGGGUUGAUGCAUGGUAGCAAUGUUGCACGCUGUUCUAACGGGUAGUAAACGGUAAUAUUUGUUGGGACAUAGGUUAGUUUGGUGCACCAAACAAAAUUGACACCCAUUAAUCAUUGGAUAAGGACCGCACCAAAGUGUUGGCUUCCAUCAUCUUAAGAAGAAGUUUUUCUAUUCGGACAUUAGAAAUUAAUCACACAAAAUUUAGGUGGUAUUUAAUAAAAUUGACUAAUUAAAAUAUGAAUUGAGUGAAUUAGUAUAUGAACUUAAAAAAAUUAUUUG